RNAcentral lists this ribosomal RNA (466 nucleotides) under Gemella morbillorum. RNAcentral describes it as "bacterial SSU rRNA". It matches the Rfam family "Bacterial small subunit ribosomal RNA", at positions 28 to 490 of the family's 1533-position model. Lineage: Bacteria; Bacillati; Bacillota; Bacilli; Caryophanales; Gemellaceae. The record is from RNAcentral.
GACGAACGCUGGCGGCGUGCCUAAUACAUGCAAGUCGAGCGAAGUUUUUCUGGUGCUUGCACUAGAAAAACUUAGCGGCGAACGGGUGAGUAACACGUAAAGAACCUGCCUCAUAGACUGGGACAACUAUUGGAAACGAUAGCUAAUACCGGAUAACAGCAUUAACUGCAUGGUUGAUGUUUGAAAGUUGGUUUUGCUAACACUAUGAGAUGGCUUUGCGGUGCAUUAGCUAGUUGGUGGGGUAAAGGCCUACCAAGGCGACGAUGCAUAGCCGACCUGAGAGGGUGAUCGGCCACACUGGGACUGAGACACGGCCCAGACUCCUACGGGAGGCAGCAGUAGGGAAUCUUCCGCAAUGGGCGAAAGCCUGACGGAGCAACGCCGCGUGAGUGAAGAAGGAUUUCGAUUCGUAAAGCUCUGUUGUUAGGGAAGAAUGAUUAUGUAGUAACUAUACAUAGUAGAGACG